This is a non-coding RNA of Picea glauca (white spruce), 47 nucleotides long. Lineage: Eukaryota; Viridiplantae; Streptophyta; Pinopsida; Pinales; Pinaceae. The record is from Rfam.
GCAAAGGCCCUAUUCAGGGCUACUGAAAAAUCCGUUGUCAAAUUCAU